Molecule: ribosomal RNA, 429 nt
Filed under: uncultured Hydrogenophaga sp.
Lineage: Bacteria; Pseudomonadati; Pseudomonadota; Betaproteobacteria; Burkholderiales; Comamonadaceae
Description: bacterial SSU rRNA
Rfam family: Bacterial small subunit ribosomal RNA
Source: RNAcentral
GAAGAAGGCCUUCGGGUUGUAAACUGCUUUUGUACGGAACGAAAAGGCUCUGGUGAAUACCUGGGGCUCAUGACGGUACCGUAAGAAUAAGCACCGGCUAACUACGUGCCAGCAGCCGCGGUAAUACGUAGGGUGCAAGCGUUAAUCGGAAUUACUGGGCGUAAAGCGUGCGCAGGCGGUUUUGUAAGACAGGCGUGAAAUCCCCGGGCUCAACCUGGGAAUUGCGCUUGUGACUGCAAGGCUGGAGUGCGGCAGAGGGGGAUGGAAUUCCGCGUGUAGCAGUGAAAUGCGUAGAUAUGCGGAGGAACACCGAUGGCGAAGGCAAUCCCCUGGGCCUGCACUGACGCUCAUGCUCGAAAGCGUGGGGAGCAAACAGGAUUAGAUACCCUGGUAGUCCACGCCCUAAACGAUGUCAACUGGUUGUUGGGU